This 958-nucleotide unclassified non-coding RNA is filed under the name Hevea brasiliensis (rubber tree). Lineage: Eukaryota; Viridiplantae; Streptophyta; Magnoliopsida; Malpighiales; Euphorbiaceae. The record is from RNAcentral.
GGGGAGAGGAGAGAGAGAGACCCUGUGUACAGGUCCCCAUUUCCUAAACAAUAAAGAAAUUAUUGGGUGCAUAAAAAAUAAUGCACCAUCCACACAUAAACAUGUGAUAGACACCUGAAAAUGUGAAAAGAGAAUCCCACAUGAAUGAAAGAGAGAGGGUUCCUGUGCACCAGAUGCACUCAACAAUCUCUCAAACAAUGGAUGGUCUGCAUUUAUCCAUGAACAAUUAAUUCAUCAAGAUUUCUAAUAUAAUGCAGUUCGAUGCAUAUAAUGAGCUUUACAGGACUUCAUUACUGCUACAGUUUUCUUUUGCUGUUUUAAAACCCUAAGCUGCAGUCAGCUUCUCCAAUUGAUGAGGUAUCAAACAUGAGACCUUUCAAGACAUAGUCAAAUCACUACUGGUACACUAACUCCAACUCCCGAGUCCUGACAAAGCACCUUAAACAGGACUAAACUCUGUGAACACUCAUAUCUUGCCAUUCCUUUAAUAGCAAGAAAAAUAGCUGAAUAUUCAUAGUUCCAGUAUAAAUUGGAGAGUCAAAUUGUCAAAUAUUGCCAAGGGAUCAUCAAGUCAUUGUGCAAUUGCAGGUUGAUUUAAAGUCACCAGCCAUCUCAGACCUUCAGCAUUCAUGCAUAGAAUAGACAAAACUAAUUCUCAGAUUUACCAUCACAAACUGAGACCUUUGGGACCUUAUCAUUAUUACUGCUGUAUCCAAUCUCUUCUCCACUAAAUACCUUAAAACAGGACUAAGCCAUGUACAGAAAGAAGCCAAGCAAUCCAACAGAUAUUAGAAUAAUUUCUCAUUAAUAAUGAGAAUAAUCACCCCAUAAACAACAUUAAGAGUCAAAUGGUCAUAUCUACUAAUAGAUAACCACGUAAUAGUGCACAAGGCAUACUGAUUUCAAGUGAGCAUAGUUAUUAAAGGCAUGCCUGAGGCUCCAGGCUCACCAAGCUCCA